RNAcentral lists this long non-coding RNA (2247 nucleotides) under Pelobates cultripes (western spadefoot toad). The record is from RNAcentral. Lineage: Eukaryota; Metazoa; Chordata; Amphibia; Anura; Pelobatidae.
GGUACAGUGUUACUAUCAAUGUUUACUUCUACCUUUGAAAAUUAGAAAAAAAACACAUGUAGUGUUCUGAGUACAUAUUUUUCUAAUUAAUUUAUGAAUAAGAAAAAAACCAAAGAUGUCCCUUGAUCUGUUUUCAAUAAUUUACAAACGCAAAUAAGAAAUCUGUUUUUUAUUAAAUGGCAUAUAAAAUUAAAACAUAUGGCUUUAAAUGCACAAUGUUCUUCUUUGUAUGUUUUUUUUUUUUUUAUAAAUCAAAUAUUUUUAUUUUAAGAAAGAAGGAUAACAGAGCAAUGAUCAUCUCUCAUUGACUUACAAGUUCAAAGACUGAAGCAACUUUUGUUCAUUGAACAUUAAAAUGGAUUGGUUACAAUGCGAAGCUAUAAUGUUCAUUGUGAUUAUACAAAAUUUGUCCGACAGAACAGAAUGCUGAUACUUAAUGGCCUUUCUAACAAGCACACAGUUCUAGUCUGUCACAGGUUGAUGUCCGUUCCAGCAGGAGUCUACAAAAUGCUGGAUGUGUAAUAAGAUGUGAGGAGGAGAGCGUUCAUGGAGAAGAAACCUAGAGUUCCAAUGAAUAUCGGCACACCACUUAACAUACUUAUGCCUGCCUUUUUUCUUUAUUAUAUUUGAAAUGAAAUAUAGCAGAAAAAAAUUAUUAUACAUAUGUAAUUAGUGGAGAAGUUUUCUUCAAUGCUAUCAAAGCUCUUUAACCAAUGGACGGAGCACCCAAAGAAAUACUGAUGUCCUCCAGUACGUGAAAUCUUGCUUAAUGGUCUACUAUCAUACAUACACAUACAUUUAUAAUCACGGUCAAUAAAAGUUUAAAAGUAAUAAUAUGCCUUGUGCAUUAUUAUGCAACAAAUACCUGAACGGUUAUACCUAGGGUUACUAGAUCCACAAUAUUUUCAGGGACAUAUAUCACAUAUAAAUAUUGUUGGGCAACACAUGAAAAGGGUUGCCAUGUAGAAUUCAGAAUUAGUAUAUAAGAUUAGGUAGCUAGGCAAUUAAUAAUUUUGCAGAAUAUGCAUUACAUAUACUGCACGCAUUUUCCUAAAUAUGGCGAAAUUAUACGUGCCUGAAAACAUGGUGAAUCUGGUAACCCUAGUUCUACCUCCUUUUAGUGUAUCUCCUGGCUUAGCCUUAUUCCGUGGGGGCAGCAAUCUUUAGCUCACUUUGGUUAAAUUAGGGGUAGUAAACCUGGUCCAUACAGCCCACCAGUGGGCAGUUUGGGAUUUCAGGUAGGCGGUGGUGGGUUCUGCAGAAAACACACAGAAGGCUGGCAGGGGAUAUCGUUUCAUCUCCUCUGCUGGCCAUGGAGAGCCAGCCUUGCUGUAAGCCCUCUCAGGCUGGUGAGAUCUCCCUCACCGGCCAGCUGGCACUUCGUUUCAGCAGAGGGAUAGAAGGGCCUGGGAUGCUCUGUGUUCCUCCCAUGAGCAGGCUGGUUGGAACAUUGCCAUGUGUUACCAUGGAAAUGCACCAAUACAGUACUGUGCUUGCAGGAGUACAGGAAAGUAAGACUACAGCCGGAGGAGGUGCAGGCUCAAGUGAACAUGCCACAACAGGACCACCAGAGCUUGCAGCAUAAUGUCCCUCCUCCCUGGUAAAAGGUAAGGAGGGAGGGGGAGACAUUAAGAUAGAUUUUCACAUCACACUCACCUACAUACAGCAUAGACCCUAUGCACCACACACAGUCUUCCUGCCCCACACUGCACAUCUCUCUCACACACACACACACACACACACACACACACACACACACUGCAUCCUUCCCACUCACAGCACCCUUCCCACAUACACAUCACCUCUAACACACACGCUGACAACCUCACACACAGCACCCUUCACACACACACUGCCCCCUCACAUGUCCACACACAAACCCACACACAGCACCCCCCACCCACACACACACACAGCACCCCUCUACACACACUCACAACACUCUUCAUACACAACAGCACCUCAGACAAUUUGAGUACAUAUUUAAAAAAAAAAAAAACCUUUCAAAAAUAAAAUUUAAAUCACACUUGCACUAUAAAAUUAAAGGACCACUCUAGGCACCCAGACCACUUCAGCUUAAUGAGGUGGUCUGGGUGCCAGGUCCAGCUAGGGUUAACCCAUUUUUUCAUAAACAUAGCAGUUUCAGAGAAACUGCUAUGUUUAUGAAUGGGUUAAGCCUUCCCCUAUUUCCUCUAGCGGCUGUCUCAUUGACAGCCGCUAGAGGCACUUGCGUGAUUCUCACUGUGA